RNA transcript from Melospiza melodia melodia, 2750 nucleotides. It is a transcript of the gene named fructose-bisphosphate aldolase A, with no coding region annotated. The record is from RefSeq and is a predicted model, not a curated record. NCBI's taxonomy places the organism in Eukaryota, Metazoa, Chordata, Aves, Passeriformes, Passerellidae. The transcript is spliced from 9 exons.
CGUCGCCGCUGUCCCCUCAGUGCCCCCCCAGUGUGACGAUGUCGCCUCCGGUGCCCGCGCUGAGCCCCGAGCAGAAGAAGGAGCUGGCGGCCAUCGCCCAGCGCAUCGUGGCGCCCGGCAAGGGCAUCCUGGCCGCCGAUGAGUCCACUGGCAGCAUCGCCAAGCGCCUGAGCUCGGUGGGCGCCGAGAACACGGAGGAGAACCGGCGCUGGUACCGGCAGCUGCUGUUCACGGCCGACAAGCGCGUGGAGCCGUGCAUCGGCGGCGUCAUCCUGUUCCACGAGACCAUGUACCAGAAGGCCGACGACGGGCGCCCCUUCCCGCAGGUCAUCAAGGACAAGGGGGCGCUGGUGGGCAUCAAGGUGGACAAGGGCGUGGUGCCCCUGGCUGGCACCAACGGCGAGACCACGACCCAGGGUCUCGACGGCCUCAUGGAGCGCUGUGCCCAGUACAAGAAGGACGGCGCCGACUUUGCCAAGUGGCGCUGCGUGCUCAAGAUCACGGCGCACACGCCCACGCGCCUCGCCGUCAUGGAGAACGCCAACGUGCUGGCGCGCUACGCCAGCAUCUGCCAGCAGAACGGCAUUGUCCCCAUCGUGGAGCCCGAGAUCCUCCCGGACGGUGACCACGACCUCAAGACGUGCCAGUACGUCACCGAGAAGGUGCUGGCAGCCGUGUACAAGGCGCUCAGUGACCACCACGUGUACCUCGAGGGGACGCUGCUGAAGCCCAACAUGGUGACAGCGGGACACGCCUGUGCCACCAAGUACAGCCCCGAGGAGAUCGCCAUGGCAACGGUCACCGCGCUGCGACGCACCGUGCCACCCGCCGUGCCGGGGAUCACGUUCCUGUCGGGUGGCCAGAGUGAAGAAGAGGCCUCCAUCAACCUCAACGCCAUCAACCGCUGUCCGCUGCCGCGUCCCUGGGCGCUGACCUUCUCGUACGGCCGCGCCCUGCAGGCCUCGGCCCUCAAGGCCUGGGGCGGCAAGAAGGACAACACCAAGGCGGCCCAGGAGGAGUACGUCAAGAGAGCCCUGGCCAACUCCCUGGCGUGCCAGGGUAAGUACACCCCCAGCGGCACCGCGGGGGCGGCGGCCAGCGAGUCCCUGUUCGUGUCCAACCACGCCUACUGAGAGGUGGACAUCUCUGACCAUCCAUGGACACCCCUGACCAUCCAUGGACACCCCUGACCUUCUGCUGACCAUCCAUGGACCUCCUCUGGACACCCCAUCCAUCCACACCCACUGCCCAGCGAGUCCCUGUUCGUGUCCAACCACGCCCACUGAGAGAUGGACAUCCCUGACCACCCAUGGACAUCCCUGACCACCCAUGGACAUCCCUGACUACCCAUGGACAUCCCUGACUACCCAUGGACAUCACUGACCACCCAUGGACAUCCCUGACCAUCCAUGGACACCACUGACCACCCAUGGACAUCCCUGACCACCCAUGGACAUCCCUGACCACCCAUGGACAUCCCUGACUACCCAUGGACAUCCCUGACUACCCAUGGACAUCACUGACCACCCAUGGACAUCACUGACCACCCAUGGACAUCCCUGACCAUCCAUGGACAUCACUGACCACCCAUGGACACCUGCUGGACAUCACUGACCAUCCAUGGACACCCAUGGACACCCCAAACAAGCACACCCACUGACCGCCCGUGGACAUCGCUGACCACCAUGGACACCCAUGGACAUCACUGACCACCCAUGGACACCUGCUGGACCUCACUGACCACCCAGAGACAUCCCUGACCAUCCAUGGACACCACUGACCACCACGGACACCUGCUGGAUACCCACCGACCACCUGCUGGACAUCACGGACAUCUGCUGGACACCCCAUCCAACCACUCCUCCUGACCACCCAUGGACAUCACUGACCAUCCAUGGACACCUGCUGGACCCUGCUGACCACCCUCUGGCCACCUGCUGAUCGUCCAUGGACCUCCUGCUGACCAUCUGCUGACCACCCUCUGGCCACUGACCUGCUGCUGACCAUCCAUGGACCUCCUGCUGACCAUCCAUGGACCUCCUGCUGACCAUCCACUGACCGCUGACCAUCCAUGGACCUCCUGAUGACCAUCCACUGACCAGCUGCUGACCAUCCAUGGACCUCCUGAUGACCAUCUGCUGACCUCCUGCUGACCACUGACCACCCUGUGGCCACUGUGGUCACUCAUUUGUCACCCUGUGGUCACUCUGUGGUCAUUCAUUGGUCACUCUGUGGUCACUCAUUGGUCACUCAGUAGUCACUGUGGUCACCCUGUGGUCACUCUGUGGUCACUCAGUGGUCACUCAGUGGUCACUCUGUGGUCACUCAUUGGUCACCCUGUGGUCACUCAUUGGUCACUCAUGGUCACCCUGUGGUCACUCAUUGGUCACUCUGUGGUCACUCAUUGGUCACUCAGUAGUCACUGUGGUCACCCUGUGGUCACUCUGUGGUCACUCAGUGGUCACUCUGUGGUCACUCUGUGGUCACUCAUUGGUCACCCUGUGGUCACUCAUUGGUCACUCAUUGGUCACUCUGUGGUCACUCUGUGGUCACUCUGUGGUCACUCAUUGGUCACUCAGUGGUCACUCUGUGGUCACUCGUGGUCACUCAGUGGUCACUCAUUGGUCACUCUGUGGCCACUCUGUGGUCACUUGUGGUCACUCAGUGGUCACUCAGUGGUCACUCAUUGGUCACUCUCUGUCCCUCGCUGUCUCCCCCAGAGCAAUAAAAGGUCUCAGAUGAACCCAAAA